RNAcentral lists this ribosomal RNA (630 nucleotides) under Mycoplasma wenyonii. RNAcentral's name for it is "bacterial SSU rRNA". It matches the Rfam family "Bacterial small subunit ribosomal RNA", at positions 73 to 702 of the family's 1533-position model. The record is from RNAcentral. Lineage: Bacteria; Bacillati; Mycoplasmatota; Mollicutes; Mycoplasmatales; Mycoplasmataceae.
GUAGAACUUGUUCUGCUAGUGGCAAACGGGCGAGUAAUACAUAUUUAACUUACUUUUACGAGGAGGAUAGCAGUUCGAAAGGACUAUUAAUACUCCAUAGGUUUAUAAACUAAAUCAAAGAGGCUCCCUCGGGGGCCUCGCGUGAAAAUAGGAAUAUGUCCUAUUAGGUAGUUGGCGGGGUAAAGGCCCACCAAGCCAGUGAUGGGUAGCUGGACUGAGAGGUUGAACAGCCGCAAUGGGAUUGAGAUAUGGCCCAUAUUCCUACGGGAAGCAGCAGUGAGGAAUUUUUCACAAUGGACGAAAGUCUGAUGGAGCAAUACCACGUGAACGAUGAAGGUCUUCUGAUUGUAAAGUUCUUUUAUUUAGGAAAAAAAGCGCGCUAGGAAAUGAGCGCGCCUUGAUGGUACUAAUUGAAUAAGUGACAGCUAACUAUGUGCCAGCAGCUGCGGUAAAACAUAGGUCACGAGCAUUAUCCGGAUUUAUUGGGCGUAAAGGAAGCGUAGGUGGGGAGGUUGAUCCAUUGUUAAAGGCAUUUGCUUAACAAAUGUGUGCGAUGGAGAUCGCCUCCCUAGAGUUAAUCAGGGGGUACUGGAAUUCAAUGUGUAGCGGUGGAAUGCGUAGAUAUAUUGA